This 560-nucleotide ribosomal RNA is filed under the name Serratia sp. (in: enterobacteria). RNAcentral's name for it is "bacterial SSU rRNA". It matches the Rfam family "Bacterial small subunit ribosomal RNA", at positions 908 to 1468 of the family's 1533-position model. The record is from RNAcentral. Lineage: Bacteria; Pseudomonadati; Pseudomonadota; Gammaproteobacteria; Enterobacterales; Yersiniaceae.
AAUUGACGGGGGCCCGCACAAGCGGUGGAGCAUGUGGUUUAAUUCGAUGCAACGCGAAGAACCUUACCUGGUCUUGACAUCCACAGAACUUUCCAGAGAUGGAUUGGUGCCUUCGGGAACUGUGAGACAGGUGCUGCAUGGCUGUCGUCAGCUCGUGUUGUGAAAUGUUGGGUUAAGUCUCGCAACGAGCGCAACCCUUAUCCUUUGUUGCCAGCGGUCCGGCCGGGAACUCAAAGGAGACUGCCAGUGAUAAACUGGAGGAAGGUGGGGAUGACGUCAAGUCAUCAUGGCCCUUACGACCAGGGCUACACACGUGCUACAAUGGCGCAUACAAAGAGAAGCGACCUCGCGAGAGCAAGCGGACCUCAUAAAGUGCGUCGUAGUCCGGAUUGGAGUCUGCAACUCGACUCCAUGAAGUCGGAAUCGCUAGUAAUCGUGGAUCAGAAUGCCACGGUGAAUACGUUCCCGGGCCUUGUACACACCGCCCGUCACACCAUGGGAGUGGGUUGCAAAAGAAGUAGGUAGCUUAACCUUCGGGAGGGCGCUUACCACUUUGUGAU